Molecule: non-coding RNA, 144 nt
Filed under: Schistosoma mansoni
Lineage: Eukaryota; Metazoa; Platyhelminthes; Trematoda; Strigeidida; Schistosomatidae
Source: RNAcentral
CCCGACCGUAGCUGCUACCUUGACGUGGUGGUCGGGCUUGCCUAUCGUGAUGAUCCGACCGAGCCAUAUUGGCUGGAACAUAUGUUCCUGUAGAUUCUACCAUGCCAGGCAGGUCGAUUGGAGAACGGUAAGACUAAAAGCAGC